RNAcentral lists this ribosomal RNA (1053 nucleotides) under Pristimantis parectatus. Its description in RNAcentral is "partial 16S ribosomal RNA". It matches the Rfam family "Bacterial large subunit ribosomal RNA", at positions 855 to 2596 of the family's 2925-position model. The record is from RNAcentral. Lineage: Eukaryota; Metazoa; Chordata; Amphibia; Anura; Strabomantidae.
UCUCAAGAAAAGAAUUUUAGUCCAACCUAAAGUAUGAUUAUAUACACGCAAAUCACCCCCAUUACUUUAGAGCAAUUCAAAUAAGGUACAGCCUAUUUGAUACAGGACCCAACCUUAACUAACGGGUAAUAUUCAACUUACAUCUAUAAGUAGGCCUAAGAGCAGCCACCUUUUAAAAAGCGUCAAAGCUUACAUGUUUAUUCCAAUUCCUCACCCCAUAUAGACCCCUUCAACUGUACUGAGAACUUCUAUAGUACUAUAGAACCUUUUAUGCUAAAACUAGUAACAAGAGUUAACCCCUCUCCACAAUGCAAGUAUAAGCCAGCAAGAGCCCAUCACUGGCAACUAACAGAUCUGAACAAAAGUAGCAACUUAAACCAGAAAAAUCUUCUCUACUCAACUGUUAACCUAACACCAGAGCAUUUCAAGAAAGAUUAAAAGAAAAAGAAGGAACUCGGCAAACAUUAGCCCCGCCUGUUUACCAAAAACAUCGCCUCUUGCUCAUAUAAGAGGUCUAGCCUGCCCAGUGACUCUUGUUCAACGGCCGCGGUAUCCUAACCGUGCGAAGGUAGCGUAAUCACUUGUCUUCUAAAUAAAGACCAGUAUGAAAGGCAUCACGAGGGCUAGACUGUCUCCUUUCUCUAAUCAGUGAACCUAAUCUCCCCGUGAAGAAGCGGGGAUUCUUAUAUAAGACGAGAAGACCCUAUGGAGCUUUAAACAUCACAACACCUGCCUCACACUUCUAUCUACCCAGGUACACCCACUCACAGCACACUGAUUGUAUGUUUUUGGUUGGGGUGACCGCGGAGAAAAACUAAUCCUCCGCAAUGAAAGGGGUUUUCCCUAAACAAUAAACCACAACUUUAUGUAUCUACAAAUUGACAUUCAUUGACCCAAUACACUUGACUAACGAACCAAGUUACCCUAGGGAUAACAGCGCAAUCCACUUUAAGAGCCCCUAUCGACAAGUGGGCUUACGACCUCGAUGUUGGAUCAGGGUAUCCUAGUGGUGCAGCCGCUACUAAAGGUUCGUUUGUUCAACGAUUAAAACCC